This 484-nucleotide ribosomal RNA is filed under the name uncultured bacterium. Its description in RNAcentral is "partial 16S ribosomal RNA". It matches the Rfam family "Bacterial small subunit ribosomal RNA", at positions 28 to 523 of the family's 1533-position model. The record is from RNAcentral.
GACGAACGCUGGCGGCGUGCUUAACACAUGCAAGUCGAACGAUGAAGCCGGAGCUUGCUCUGGUGAAUUAGUGGCGAACGGGUGAGUAACACAUGAGUAACCUGCCCUUGACUCUGGGAUAACUGCGGGAAACUGUAGCUAAUACCGGAUGCGACCCUCGGAGGCAUCUCCUGGGGGUGGAAAGAAUUUCGGUCAAGGAUGGACUCGCGGCCUAUCAGCUAGUUGGUGAGGUAAAGGCUCACCAAGGCGACGACGGGUAGCCGGCCUGAGAGGGUGACCGGCCACACUGGGACUGAGACACGGCCCAGACUCCUACGGGAGGCAGCAGUGGGGAAUAUUGCACAAUGGGCGCAAGCCUGAUGCAGCAACGCCGCGUGAGGGAUGACGGCCUUCGGGUUGUAAACCUCUUUUAGCAGGGAAGAAGCGAAAGUGACGGUACCUGCAGAAAAAGCACCGGCUAACUACGUGCCAGCAGCCGCAGUAA